Molecule: long non-coding RNA, 37302 nt
Filed under: Triticum aestivum (bread wheat)
Lineage: Eukaryota; Viridiplantae; Streptophyta; Magnoliopsida; Poales; Poaceae
Description: long non-coding RNA (TAES_LNC028127)
Source: RNAcentral
UUUUUUUUAAUUGCCGUCGUCAUUACAUAACCAGUCCACCCUAGCUCGUUGGAGCCAAUGCAGUUCCAGCAGGUGUUCAGUCAAGUCUGCUAGCUUGUUCCUUUCUUUUCAUGUCACAUUCAUCAUUAGUCAUAGGCCCUUUCGUCACACGUGCAAUCUCUUUCUCUGCCUGUUUAAGCUUCUUUUUCUGGGUUUUAACUACCCGUCAAUCCUAGUUAUGAAAGCUCUAAUGCAUCAUACGAAGCUUCCCCAGUAUGGCAUUCCCCUGCACAUUCAAAAACGAUUCAUCCCAUGCUUGCAUGACCACUAGUUGCACUACCGAAUUUUCCCAAGAUAAUUUUCACCAGUAGCUAAUCUAGAACUUCGGAAACAAAACAGAAAACUACAUGUAACACUACUCUCAACAGUCAUAUAUUGAUUUGUUGCUUUAUGUUUAAGCACCAUACAUAGGUUUUUACACCCAGACAAGUUUACUCAACAACGAGAUAAUAUCUGCAUGGUAAUGACCACACAAUUUGACAAUUUGAACCACAUAACAUGGAAGAAGAUGCUUCAAAGUUGAAAGAUAUAAAGAGGAGCAGGAGCAAGCAGGCACUUCAUUUCUCUCAACAGCUUAUUAAUGCAGACUACCUUCAUGGAGAUUCUGGCCAGUCAAAACCAGCGAAGCCUUCACCGAAUACACCACCAUAGAACCUAACUUCUAGUCACUCAAGAGCGUGAUCGUCGUCCCAUAUGGCCUCGUCAUCACCCCCGAGGGCGAAGUACUCAUUGUCCACGAACUCUUCCCAUGAGUCGAUGGAGUCAUCAUCCGAGCACUCAUCCCAGAAGUUGUUCUCAUAGAAGUCGUCCACGUGGGGGCCGAGGAUUUUCAGCCCAGGAUACUUCUCUUGCAAAAUCUUAUCACCAACAUCCCAACAGCCACGCAGAUCUAAGAAUUUGAGGUCUUCGCACCGGGAGGUGAUCUCGAGGACAGCCGUUGUCUCGAUAAGCAUGUACCCUAUCUCGAGGUGGCAGAGCUUUGGCAUGUUGUAGGCAAUAGCACGGGCCUCGUCAUUAUGGCACCCCUUCCCUGCGACAUCCAUUGGGUGCAUGACUCGGCGAAGUCUGAUGAGGGAUUUGCAAUUCUUACCGAAUGCCUCCAGAGCACGAGCGCCAAUCUUAGUGCAGCUGCUUACAUCCAGGAAUGUAACUUUAGUCAGUCUUUGUGCAGCAGCUUCCACUAUAGAGUCGCUAAUUUCGCUCCUUGGAAUCUCCAAAGUCUUGAGAGAUUGCGCACUUGCAAAACAAAACAAGGUUGGAUAAGUAAGGUUUAAUAAAAUAUUAUGGAUACGGUCAUCAGUAAACAAAGUACUAGGGUUAUAUAUAUGGUUAUGACAAAAACAAAAUCACUGGAACAUUGUCGGUUGAGGAAAUAGUUGGUAAUACCAUUUUGAACAUGUUCUUCUACACAGAUGUGCGGGGUCUGGUACCAUGUUCGCAACAUUUCUCACUAUCAGGAAACGGAUUAAGCCAGAGGAGCAUGAUUGUGCUAGUAACUUUAAUAGACCAUCUAUAACUUUGUAUUUAUAGAUUAACACACUGUAAUGAUACUACCCCAUUUUUAUUUAUGCAAUUGAAUGAAUAAUUUACAAGCAUUAACAAAAAUAAUUGCCACAAUAUAUGCACAAUUGUUUAUAAAUGAUUGGAUUCAGUGAUAAUAGAGGAUUCAGUGUAAAGACAAAUACAACCGCAAGGCAAGUAAUUCUGGAAUCAAUUAUGUUACACAUAACGUACUUGUUUUUGUUCAUCAGCACAUGUCUUUCUAAUCAAUAGACGUAUUAACAUUCGUGUCCAGUGUUUCUCACAUAUUUGGAUCCUGGAGUGUCAGAUCGUGUUCCCUAGCCCAUCUCCGCCGUCCAAUAUCUUACUUUUGGCGCUAAAACCCUACUCCCCCUUGCGCCGUUUCAUCUACCGUGGCCGCCACCUUCUUUGUUCUCGCCCCUCCUCGCCGUCGCCCUCACCCCCCUCAUCCCUAACCGCCUCAGUGAUCCAGCUCCUAUAUAAUGAAAUUACACAUCCAUCAUAUUUCCCCUGCCACAGCCACUACACCUGUGGCAAUCUAAACCAUUUUUUUUCCAAUGAAAGUCUGUAUGCAUUUUGCGAGGAUGGUACACAAUCGGAAGAACUACUCCAGCAACGUGCACAACUAAUGGUUCACCACUAACAAUAAUAAUAAUAAAAACACACAAUGUUCCCAUCUAGGUUAUCAAAUUCAAAUCUCAUGAGGAAAGGAUCAUCAAAAUAAAAAAGAUUUUGACUAAAGAAGACUACUUACUGGUCCGCGAUGAAGGCGAACAAUGAGUCGUUGGGAAGCCUGGACACACUAAGGCGGUGGCACGAGCCAGCGCUGCGAGAGAGGAGCAUAUGAACCAUCCUGAUGAUCUUGUCAGGCUCUUUCUGCUGGCUCCACUCCUGAAUGUCGAUGUCCUGCCAGCAGUCGGCCCCUGAAACCACCCGGCUCCAGGGUUUGCAAACACCCGGAACUACAGAGAGGAUCUCCUGAAGGGACAGUUUGCAAAAGAUGAUGCCUAGGGCAUCUCAUGCUUGGUCCUCCCAACAUCUGUCCUCACUGCACUCUUCCAUCCCUGAUCCUUCCGAUCCAGGACCGACCAUGCAAGUUGUAUGUCCACCUGUUUCAGGAACCAUGAUAAAUUACCCUGGGUGGUAAAAUUAUUUGCUUAAUCCACACAGUUGAAGGCUUGAAAUAGCAUAUUCAAAAUUUCAUGGCGACUUAUAUUAAUAGUAUGAAAGUGCUUUCCUACACUGAAAAAAAUCCAGUUAAUCAACAUUUAUUUCGAGAUAAUAAAUUGCCAAUAUAUAUGGCAAGAUCACCAUAAAGGAGUAUCUGUAUCAAAGGUAUGGAAAUAUAAACCCAGCGACCACGAUAAAAUUUGAAGGAAAGAAAUUACACCGAGAUGAACACAUGUGCAAGAUUUCCCUGACCUGACAAGAAAGAACUUGCAGUUCAAACGAAACUAGAGGAAGAAAUGAGAUCUGAGCGAGAUUGCUCGGAGAAGAGGUGGGAACAUGAACUGAGAUAUGGCGGACUGCCUAGAUCACCGAACCCAGAUAUUAAAAAUAGCACGAUCUUGGAUCAAAGCAAGCUGGUUACGGGGAGUGAAAACCCAAAUCAGGAAGCCUACUCAAGAACCAAACGAGAGCACCAAGAUGCGAGGACCAACCAAAAGCCAUCAGGGCCGAACCAGCGAGUACGAGGAAGGAGGACGCCGCAGAUCUGAAACAGCCCCUCCGCCAGAGACAAAAAAUUCGAGACAACCCGUCCUGGCGGGACAGUAUCGUUAACGAGGAGAGGACUGCGCGGACGUGGUGUUCUUCACGACGGCGAGAUGCUUCGGAGGGUGAGCUUACCAGGUCACGGAGGAGGAGGAGAGGUGGUGGUGGUGGCGAAUCUGUGGGAGCGUGGGGCGUCUCGGCGAUGGGGCGAGGAGGAGGAGCGAGACUGCGAGAGGGAUACAGUUGAGUGUAACGGCGAGAGGACCUUUCUCCUUUUGUUGCUCGCGCGUGCCUUUUUUUCUGGUUUGCAGGGGGAUUCCGGGGUGCGCCGCCAGGAUUCAGGCCGAGUGAGCGCCACAUCGGAGUAAUUAAUUCCUAAGUUGAAAAGCCUGAAACGUGGUGCGAUCAUAAUAAUUCCUUGACAUAAAAACGUGAUGGUAAGCUUGAACGAAGAAACUACAGAUGGAGUAGGCCAUGUUUUUUUUCAGAAAGCUGUUGAUGUUGAUACAAGAUUUACAUACAUAUGAUGCUACAGUGUGUGUGCUAGCUAGAUUUGGUAAACAGAUUUCAUCGUAUAUGGCAGAUAUCGCUUACUCUCUUUUUUUUUGCGAAAAGAUAUGGCUUACAUUAAUGUACUCAAUGUAAAUUUUAUGUUCUAUGUUUUUGCAAAAAAAAAAGAGUUUAUGUACUAUGGCUUUAGUGAUCAUGUAAACGACAUUUGGGAUAUUUUUCCCCAUAUUUCAACUAUUGCUUCUCUAACUUCACCGUUUCCCCUUUCGCGCGCUUUUUUGCUUUGAAAACACUCGAGCCAUUCACUCGUGCGGCGGCCGAAUAAUCCAACGGCCUCUGACUUCGCCCAUCAUCAUUCAAAUGUCGUCUCUGCUCUACAUGACUUGCACCCAAUGGAUGAUGCGCGUCCUCACCCACCCACCUCCCGGGCAAACAGCAGUGAGAAUAACCACAAAGUGGUUAUGUCCAAUUUGAGGAAAUUAGGUUCCUACCAAAUCAUGAAUUAGCUCUUAGCCUUGUUAUUAUCGGAAACAACGAAGAAAAGUCAACGCUGCCACCGGAAGGGACCAAAGGGCAAGAUAUUUUUCCAUGCCUACUAUUGUUCUCGCAGAUUAAGCUAAUAUAUAAUAAGUUUGAUUUAGCUAAAUGGGACUGAAUUCUUCCCACAUGAAAAAAAUUAGGAAUAUUAAUUUCUUACCGACACCCUACGACAGCCCUUUCUCGUGGUUUUUGGAUUUGAAAAGUUUGGGACCCUUCACUCAACUCACGGGCCACAAUCCAAAUGGGCUCGAAUUUGGUCCAUCAUCUUUCAAACAUCGCACCAACUCUAAAUGUCGUGUCUGCUCUACAUGACUUGCACCCAAUAAAUGGUGCAUAUCCUCACCCACCCACCUCCGGGGCAAGCAGCAGUGGGAAUAACUGUAAAGUGGGUAUGUCCAAUUUGAGAAAAUUAGGUUCCUACCAACUCAUAAAUUAGCUCUUAGGCAUGUUAUUAUCAGAAACAACGAAGAAAAGUCAAGGCUGCCACCUCAAGGGAAAAAAAGACAAGAUAUUUUCCAUGCCUACUAUGGUUCUCGCAGAUUAACCUAAUAUAAAAUAAGUUUGAUUGAGCUAAAUGGGAUUGAAUUCUUCCCACAUGAAAAAUAUUAGAAACUUUAACUUCUUACCGACGCCCUACAACCGCCCCUCUUCCCAUGGUUUUCCGAUUUGAAAAGAUUGGCACCCUUCACUCAACUCACGGGCCACAAUCCAAAUAGACUGGAAUUUGGUCUGUCAUCUCUCAAGCAUCGCACCUACUCCAAAUGUUACCAUCAAUUGGUCGUGCCUUCCGCUCGAAAGAUGGCCNNNNNNNNNNNNNNNNNNNNNNNNNNNNNNNNNNNNNNNNNNNNNNNNNNNNNNNNNNNNNNNNNNNNNNNNNNNNNNNNNNNNNNNNNNNNNNNNNNNNNNNNNNNNNNNNNNNNNNNNNNNNNNNNNNNNNNNNNNNNNNNNNNNNNNNNNNNNNNNNNNNNNNNNNNNNNNNNNNNNNNNNNNNNNNNNNNNNNNNNNNNNNNNNNNNNNNNNNNNNNNNNNNNNNNNNNNNNNNNNNNNNNNNNNNNNNNNNNNNNNNNNNNNNNNNNNNNNNNNNNNNNNNNNNNNNNNNNNAUAAUGGCAAAGUGGUGAUCUCCAUCCUAGACCUAAUAUCCAAUUAUGGCGUGCUGUCAUCCAACCCCUUGAACAAACAAGAGAAAUGUAGUCUAAAAGAAAAAACGAAGUAGAACUCAAUGGUGACACUGAUGGAGACAAAAACAGAAAAUCUUUCCUGCCUAUGCUUCUUGCAAAUUACGACAAAAUAAAUAAAUAUGUUUAAGACACAGUGAAGGAAUUUUGGGAUCAUUUUUUCUUCCAAAGUACAACCGUUACCUCCUAAACUUCUAUCAUUUGGGAAAGAACAACGAUGCCCAGCCGAACCCUCCAAAGCAGAAAUAAGAUUGACCUUUUCUUUCGAGAAGGUUUAACAUAUAGUAUGGAUCGUCAUUGAAACAUUGUGUCCGCUCUGGUUGCUUCCCUCAAGCAAUAACACCUAAUACUUAAAAAUGGCACAAAUUCUUUCCCCCACAAAUCUGAGGGCAAAUAACUACACAAUGGUUAUUUCCAUAUUGUACCAAAUUAAGGGUUGUUAUUGAAGGGGGUGAAAACAAAAGAUAUUUCAUGUUUUUUUUGGCUUCUUAUAUAUUACAUAACAUUAAAUAACAGUGAGUGAGCUAAAUGGGAUUUAUUUUUUCAGACAUGAGAAAAAUUGGAAAUUAUAAUUUCUUACUAUUCUCUCUCAUAGGCAACACCUCCCUAUCAUGGACUUUUAAUCUCUAUGACAUAUGUAUCCACAACCCAAGCCCUAACCAACGAACAUGCACCAACCCUUCUAUGAAAAAGAAAUUUUUAUUGACUUGCUAGUCAUGAAAUCCAAGUCUAUCUCCUAGAAUAGCAGCUUCUAGCAUAGGUUUUACAAAAUAAAAACACUAGAGCUUCACCAACCAAAGCAUUGAAGUGGAAUUCAUAUCACGAAAAGCCAAAAAAAGCCGUCACAUCUAGUCUGAACCAAGCAUAUGUUGUAAUAGAACCUAAGUCAACAAUGCGCACUCCAAAAGUUUUCAUACAUAUUUCCAUCGAGAAUUGCCCUGCCAAAACCAUUGCAAAAGUCCUAACACAUUAAUUACAAUCUAUCACACCACUACAUGUCGAUGGAGUCCGAACUAGUUCUUCUUUGGUGUACUUGAUAUGUUAAACCACCACUAGUAAAUCAAGGCAUCAACCACUGUAAUAAAACUUGACUUAAAAAUAGAUCCUCUAGAUCCAAAUGCCUAGAUGCCCUUCUCCACAACCCACACCAUGAUGUCUUUGAAGAUGGCAUGUGUGCAUCGAUUAGAUAUAUCCUAACAAUGUGCGGACUGACCGUCCUUCUGAAUGUCUGGCAGGACCCUGGAUCCCUAGUAUAAACGGGUUGCAAUAAGGCGACCCUCUUUCUCCUUGUUAAUCAUUGUAACUGAUGUACUACAUCAACUUACUCAUCAUGCAUUCUCUAUCGAACUCCUCACACAACCCAUCAACCAUCUUGUACCUUUUUUUACAGUAAUGAUACCCUAAUCCUUAGAAGUGCAAACGUCUCAUAAGAUGCAACAUUGUGUUCCCAUAUCCGGAAGAUUUCAGAGACGCAAGUGGUUUAGUGAUUAACUUCUGAAAAACUACAUUGAUUUCAUUUAAAGGUCGAUUAUUUCCACUCGUCCCGAAUGACCGGCCUAUUAGUUCUCUUGUCAUGCAUCCUCCUCCCCUGGUCUUAAUAUGUUCAUAAGAAUCUUACAUUAAUAGAAUUCAUUUCAAAUAUUUCUGCAAGUAUUUCGUUUAAGUGGCCGUUCACUCUACCUGGUCAUUCUAGCUCCUGCUUGCCUGCUCCUGCACCAUUAUCACAUUUCUCAUGUGACUUGUUGCUUGAUUUCAUGAUCACUCACCCACUCAUAACCAUGGAUCUAACUCGUUGGCUUUCUUCCUCAAUGGGACAAUGUCACAAUCACCAUAUCUACAUUUUCCAUGUGUUGCAGCUUUUCACACUGUGUUAACAAUCCUUCAGCAUCCUAACACCUAGACCUCGGGCACAGGUGGGCAACGCGUCCUAACUUCAUCGAAUCCCUUACCAAUAGGUUGCGGGCAUAACAAAGAAAACUAAAGUACAUGACUUGGUAGAAAAUUUGUUUUGCUUUCAGUGGUAAAUUUGUUGCCAGCGAAAAAUUGGAAGAAAGAAGAUGACAUAAAUAUUUGUAAAUUAUAUUGGAUACUUUACUUUCUAGAAGAAAACAUUGGAUGUGUUCAUUUUUUGUUGAGACGGUGAUAUUUCACUCUAGAUCGAUCUUUACUGUUGGGGUUGCUGGCCAUCUGUCACUUCAGACAAAUAAUGAAAGAAACUAUAAGUAAGGAAAUAGAAAAUUUAACCAAUUAUAUUUCUUAUAUAACAGUCACAUCAUAAAAAUAAGGAAAUAAAUAGUACGAAAUUAAUGUAUGAGGAUAAAGAAGGAAAUAAGAAUGACAAUCAAUACUAGUAUUUAUUAUAUAAUAGGCACCUGAUACAAAUAAGGAAGGCAUUAAUAUGUAAUUAAUGAAUCAUGAUAAAUAUGAAAAUAAAAGGGUAAUUUUUGACAUUUAUUAUAUAUUAUUGUUCUCCUUCCAAUCAAAUUCUCCAUCAACUCUUGUGGAUGAACUCCAAAAGUACGGCAGCGCGGUCCCUCCUAGUACCGUCUUGGCUUCUCGUGAUGGACAACACUGCAUAAUCGAGGUUAUCGCCUAGAGGUCGGAGUGACUAUAACUACUAAAAUAACUAGAUGACCCAUUGUUCCAUUGGUGUAGAGACCAACUGCAUCCCAAAAGUUAAGUAAACUAUUGGAGACAUAAAAUAGAAGUUAAGUGAACUAUUUGAAAAGUCCAACUACAACAAUGGGCGUAAAGAGAUACUGUAGCCAAGAAAAGAAGCAACUAAUACAACAAAAAAAAGAGGUCAAUUAUUUGAUGGAUGUUUAGCAUGAAUGGACUCUAGUGAUUAUGUUUGAACUGCAUUUGUACCUACCUUGUAUAUUUACUAACGACAAACAACGAUAAUUGUGGUACCUAUCCUACAUUAGCCCGCCACGGCAACCCUACAAAUGGGUCAAUACAAAUGCCGACCACACCUCCCUACGGUACCUGACCUGAACUUUUGGAUUUGAGGACUCGUACUAGCAACAACUAGGGAGACUCAAGACAAUCCGGGCAUACGACAGACCCCAAAUAUGCGGUAGCCUUCCGAAAGCACGACAUCCGGCCAAGGGGACACGAUGGCAGGAAGCCAUGGCAAAACCCGAUAGCCACCUGACAUGAAGAAAACAUCUCGCCAAGAUGUCACCCACGCACAAGACACGACGUUCACGACAUGUGCCAAAGUAUUUUGGGAUGUGAUCACGGUCUUUGAGUGCCGCGGUCUGGCCGGAUGGGGUGUUCUGGGAUGCCUUCCCCGAUUUCAAAACUAACUUUGUGAAGUCAUCAGCAUUGAUGAGACAGAGAUGAAACCUGUUGUCUCCAUUAGUUAAUUGUUUUACAAACAUGGUGUAUGGAAUUUUCAUGGAGAGGGAUCAUUAAAUUAGGCCGAGCUCACUCUGUUUGUCACACAAUAUAAUGUUAGGUGAUGCAAAACAUAUGUCAGUGCCCUGACACUCAAUAGGCUACUAUUGUUUUUGGUUUAGAACUAGGAAAACUAUGUGAAGAGUGCAAUAGAUAAAACAUGUUCCUCUCAAGCAGCGUUCAUUAUAGUCUAUUUCAUAUAGUUUGCCUGCCUUCUUUGUUGAUUAUUCAUAGACCUAUAUGUAACCGGACACCCUCCAAUGGUAUGGCGUGGUAUAUGAUUUUAGUUCGGCAUACUAUCGUAUAGGUUAACGAUGUGUUCAGAGCAGACCUGACCGUACCAUUACUCCACUUCGUGGUUGUCGUUGGUCUUUAUGCCAAUGGGCAUAAGGGUGCAUUUAUUUAAAUGUGGAUGCACACUGGCACAUGAUAAACACACACUAGUUUCUAGAAUGCCGAAUAAUAAGUUUUUUAGUUGACGUAACACCAUCAUCAUGCCUUGCAAUCUUGUGUGUGAGGCUGGUAAUUCUACACAUGUUGUCUUGUCACUGCCUCUAUACCAAAAUAAAUGAUUAUAUCCAUCAACUGUAAGCAGCUAAGCCUUCCGUAGGGGUACCAACAUGGCAAACCUUUGGUUAUAAUGUAGUUUUUGUAGGCAACUGUAGGAAGGGAUGGAGAAAUGAUAGGCUAGUUGAGGCUAUGUCAUGGCUUGCUUGAUCUGGUGCUCAUCGAGGCGGUCUCUCAAGCGGAACAAAACACUGACGAAUAAACCAUGCAUGGUUGACUGCUCUGAAGCGCGUCAACCAUGCACGGAUGCAUCCAUGACCAGGACUCACAGUGCAAUUAAUCCGACCGAGCCUGCAAGCGUUCCAUGAGAACUGGAAAAGGAACAUGGAUCAAAUUGAGUUGCAUGACAAACGAAUGUGAACCAAAACUAAACACAAUGUCACACCUAGUCAUGGAGCAGCAUGAGCCGGUGGUCCUAGCCCCAGUUUUGGAACAGGUCAUGGAUCAACUUGAGCAUCCCCUCCCGGGGCCGACCUCGGAUAACACCUUGGAAUCGCCCCCAUGGCCAUGAUGUCAGGUGAAAACUUGAGACUGAAGUGGGAUCUAACCUUGGGGUUGCUUCCCUUGGCCCUGACUUUGGAUACUAUGUAGGAGGUUGGCAAAUAAUCUGUUCCGAGCCCACUCUCCCUAUUUCCGGUGUCACACUAGGAUCAGGCGGAAUAUGAAAAGCUCGUUCUAGGCUAACUAUUAGAUCGGUUCCAGAAGUUUGCGGCAUUGGACAACCCGAUCUUGGUGUAGGAUUGGAUCUUGGAAUCCCCAGGAAAAGUUGAUUUUUUAACCCACUCACCGUCCAUCUUGUUGCCAACAUCGAAGACCUAACCGAACUCCUGGAAGGCACCAUGAACGAGAACAUGGACAUGUAUGAUGAGGUCGGCGAGUCUGCGGACAACCCGCCAAUAGCCACCGUUCCCUUAAAUAAUUGGACAUCGACCUCGCCCUAUGGCGUCUACAUGGUCGACACUGCACAUGCAACCGACAAGGCUGGAACCAACAACAGCGACAAUACCUGAUGAUGGCGCCAAUGGAAACGACAUCACCAUGAAUAGUGGCGGCAACAAACCUGACAGUCCUCCAUGCGGCGAGGUAGAUGACCCUCAAAGCAACCUCGGUCCCAAAGACAAGGAUAUAUUAAAUGUGUCGCUUAGUAGCCACGCCACGACGUGUUAAGGUGAAAGCUAGUCACGGAGGUGCUCAUAUGUAUAGGGUGUGAGUGCGUGCAUUAAUGGCGGUGAGUGUAUGUGUAUAUGUAUGAGUGUCUGCGUCUGUACUGCAUNNNNNNNNNNNNNNNNNNNNNNNNNNNNNNNNNNNNNNNNNNNNNNNNNNNNNNNNNNNNNNNNNNNNNNNNNNNNNNNNNNNNNNNNNNNNNNNNNNNNNNNNNNNNNNNNNNNNNNNNNNNNNNNNNNNNNNNNNNNNNNNNNNNNNNNNNNNNNNNNNNNNNNNNNNNNNNNAGAAAGCGCUUCUGCGCACAAUUAAAAUAUAAGGAGGCAAUGGAUCCCCUUGUCUCGAACCCCUAGUAGGUUGGAAGUUAUCGAUCUCCUGAGAAUUAUACAUGAUAGUAUAUUGUACCGACGAGAUACAAGUCAUCAUAAAAAAAACCAAUUCUCUUGGAAUCCCAAACUUAACAUAAUAUUCCUGAAGAAACUCACUCAAAUCUGUCGUAUGCCUUGUGCAUAUCCAGCUUGUCCGCACAUAAAUCUUUGUUCCUCUUUCUCUUAUUUUUUAUCUUGUGUGUGCACUCUUAGGCAAUAAGCACAUUGUCUGUUAUAAGUCUCUAGGGAUAAAGGCGCUUUCGGUUGGUGAAAUGAUCUCUGGUAAAAUUAUCUUUAGGUUUCUAGCAAGCUUCUUUGGAAUUAAGAUUAACGUGCUGUCAUUCCACCCAUCCGUUAUCUGCCUCGAGUUUAUCGCCUCCGGGACUUUCUAGUAUUUUGUUCUACAAAAGUGCAUGCAAACCGUUGGGGCCUUGGGCCUUGAUAUCGCUGAUACUGAAAAUAGAGUGCUUCAUUGCAUUCUCCGUAAAGGAAGCAGUUGUUCAUUCAUUUAUUUAGAAACUCAAGACAUAAUUUUUCUAGAGAUCAAAUAUCUGUAUUGUUAACUUCGGAAGAUAAAGGGUGAGCAAAAUAAUUUGUGAUCAUCGGGUUUAACAUGUCCGUACCUUCCAGACAAGCCCCCUGGCCAUCCUUAAGUCAUUUCAUCAGGUUACGUUCUUGCCGGCCAAGGCAAAUUGUUAGAAAUAAAAUUAAUUGUCGUCGCUGUUAUGUAACCAGUCCACCCUAGCUUGUUGGAGCUUAUGCAGUUCCUGUACACUAGUAGAAAAAGCCCCAUUUGUCCCGGUUCAUGAGGCCCAUUUGUCCCGGUUGUUGAACCGGGACUAAAGGGAAGGUACUAAAGCCCAAUACCUUUAGUCCCGGUUCGCCCAAGAACCGGGACUGAGGGAGUCCCGGAUUAGGGGGUGUUCGGAUAGCCGAACUAUCAUCAUCGGCCGGACUCCAAGACUAUGAAGAUACAAGAUUGAAAACUUCGUCUCGUAUCCGGAUGGGACUUUCCUUGGCGUGGAAGGCAAGCUUGGCGAUACGGAUAUGUAGAUCUCCUAUCAUUGUAACCGACUCUGUGUAACCCUAGCCCUCUCCGGUGUCUAUAUAAACCGGAGGGUUUUAGUCCGUAGGCUAGAACAACAAUCAUACCAUAGGCUAGCUUCUAGGGUUUAGCCUCCUUGAUCUCGUGGUAGAUCUACUCUUGUAAUACCCACAUCAUCAAUAUUAAUCAAGCAGGACGUAGGGUUUUACCUCCAUCAAGAGGGCCCGAACCCGGGUAAAACAUCGUGUCCCUUGUCUCCUGUUACCAUCCGCCUAGACGCACAGUUCGGGACCCCCUACCCGAGAUCCGCCAGUUUUGACAUGGACAUUGAUGCUUUCAUUGAGAGUUCCUCUGUGCCGUCGCAAUCAGGAAGGAUGCCUCUUCCCGUCUUUAAAGACGGUACCAUUGCCAAAGGAGCUUUGGCCGCCGGUCAAGCUAUCCGGCUAGGUGAUUUUCUUAUGACUGCAUGUUCGGCCACCGCUUCGACAAUGACCUCUCGGGUCAUCAAAAGUGAUCUUCGCGUCAACUCGGAAUUCACCGAACAGCUGGAUCCGAUGGAGCUCUCUUCCGCAAACGAGCUCUUGGAUCGGAUCGCCGCCUUGGGAGUCGCUACAGACUACGAUCAGAUUGGGCUUAAAACCGAUCUGAGAGAAAUUAACUCUCCCCAGGCUACCCACCACGUUGCUGUGGUAGAAGAACAACGCGGCGACUCUUCUUCUAUGUUAAAGACCAGUUAUGUCUGGAUUCCCGAUCCCUCCAUGCCGGAUUCCCGCGGAGGGACGGACGUCAAUCGAGUACUGAACCUAAAGUCAGGCAGCGUACUAGAUUCGUCGGACGACGUUCAGCUAUCCAAGCUUCCAAAUCCGGAAACUCCUCGGCCUUCGAGCCUCAGAUUGGGCGGGGUUCCGAAUUUAAUUCCACCCACCCACCCAAACACAAGCGAUCUAUCUCAAAUACGGCAAGAGCCCGAUGAAACAGUACAUCAUUACUGGGCCAGAUUCCUCCUGGUUAUGGACAGGAUAAAGGACUGCCGUGAGGAAAGCGCAAUCUCUAUUUUCUGCAACAAUUGCACGGACAAGGGAAUCAUGAACGCCAUAAGUCGUUGCAAAGUUACGCGCUUCGCCGACCUGGCGACCAUAGUACGAAAAUACUGUGCGAUGGAAAGUGCCUGGAAAACUGAAACUAGAUUUUGGGACAAUCCGGCCCUGAACACAACCCUAGUCCGGAAUAAAAGGGUGCACCAUGCUCAAGCACCUGGGUCAAAAACCAAAAAGCAAAACCCCCCUAAAGGGUACGAAACCGUACUGGAGGGAUGGCUCAGCGGACCCUGCAAAAUCCAUAAUACAGAGGGCGCCACUCCAACACAUAACCUUCGAGCAUGUUAGAUACUACGACAGGUGGCCAAAAGUGGCGAAGGUCUUCUAGCCCCGGAGAACCGUCCCAACAGUACCAGUACGGUAUUAACAAUCUUCGAGACUUUCGCAUCAAAUAAUAUGCGGAAACGAACAAUCCGCAGCCUCGCCGAAGUCUACCAAGUAGCAACAACAAAUCCAUGGAGCGACACGGCUAUCACCUUCAAUGCCAGCGACGAACCUAAAUUCCGAACAGCCCGAGCACCAGCCGCAUUGGUCCUAUUCCAAUAGUGGAUGGCUUUCGUCUUACCAAGGUACUCAUGGAUGGCGGCAGCGGAUUAAACCUCAUCUACGAGGAAACCCUCCAAAAAAUGGAAAUAGACUGGAGCCGCAUUAAGCGAAGCAGCACAACCUUCAGAGGAAUAAUCCCUAGUCGGCAAGCACGCUGCACAGGAAAAAUCACACAAGAUGUGGUGUUCGGCUCGUCGGACAACUACAGGUCCGAAGAAGUCACGUUCCAAGUGGCCCCGUUCAGCAGCGGAUAUCACGCUCUAUUAGGGCGAGAGGCAUUCACAAUUUUCCAAGUUGUACCCCAUUACGGGUACAUGAAGCUUGAAAUACCCGGGCCCAAUGGAAUCAUCACUCUGGUCAGUGAUCCGGACAUAGCACUCCGCGCUAAAAAUAAGACAGCUGCACUAGCCCUAGAGGCACUAUCCGAAGCCCUAGUGGCAGAGGAACUCACUGCACUGCGCUCCACGGUGAAUAGGGACGAUGUGAUACUCGAUAAGAGAUCUAAGUCCACCUAUUUUAAACCAGCAGACGAAAUAGUCAAAUUCCAGGUCCAUCCAACGGACCCCACAAAGACGGCCUCCAUUGGGGCACAAUUAAACCCUGAUGUAGAAGCCGCACUACGAGAAUUCCUUAGGGAAAACUAGGACAUUUUUGCAUGGCACCCUUCAGAUAUGCCAGGAAUCCCACGCAGGCUGGCAGAGCACAGCCUAAAUAUCCUAAAAGGAUUCAAGCCAGUCAAACAGGCUGUUCGACGAUUUUUCGAACCCAAAAGACAGGCAAUGGGAGAGGAGCUAGCCAAACUAUUAGAAGCCGGAUUCAUCAGAGACAUAAAACAUCCGGAUUGGCUAGCGAACCUGGUAAUGGUACCAAAAAAGGACAAAUCCUGGCGUCUUUGUGUCGAUUUUAAAGACCUUAAUAAGGCUUGUCCAAAGGAUCCUUUCCCCCUUCCCCGCAUCGACUAAAUCAUCGAUGCUACCGCGAGGCACGAUUCAUUGUGUUUCCUCGACGCAUACUCCGGAUACCAUCAAAUCAAGAUGGCGGAAACAGACCAGGCCGCAACGGCAUUCAUUACUCCAUACGGACCAUUCUGCUUCAACACAAUGCCCUUCGGACUCAAAAACGCCGGCGCAACAUAUCAGCGCAUGAUUCAGACAUGUCUGGCUACCCAGAUCGGCAAAACAGUGGAGGCAUACAUAGACGAUGUGGUCGUUAAGACCAAACACGUCGAAACUCUAGUAGACGAUUUGAGGCUCACAUUCGACAACCUCCGAGCAUAUGACAUUAAGCUCAACCCAAAAAAAAUGCGUUUUCGGCGUACCAGCCAGAAAGCUCUUGGGCUUCAUUGUAUCCGGUAGAGGAAUUGAAGCAAACCCAGCCAAGAUCCGAGCUCUGUCACAAUUGGAUAUCCCAAAAGACCUCAAACAAAUACAAAAACUGACUGGAUGCGUGGCGGCUCUAAGCCGCUUCAUCUCCCGUUUGGGAGAAAAGGCAUUGCCUCUCUACCGCCUCCUCCGGCGCACCGAACACUUCGAGUGGACGGAUGCUGCCACGGCCGGACUCGAAGAAAUAAAGGCCAUAUUAGCAACAAAUCCGGUCCUAGCCGCGCCCAACCUAGGCGAACCAAUGUUAUUAUAUAUCGCGUCAACACAUCAAGUUGUAAGCGCAGUGCUCGUCGUCGAACGAGAAACAGAAGGUCACAAAUCCCCUCUUCAAAAACCAGUGUACUACGUAUCCACUGUCUUAACUCCAUGCAAGUCCCGGUAUCCAUAUUAUCAAAAGAUAGCGUACGCGGUGUUCAUGGCAUCCCGGAAGCUGCGACACUACUUUAAAGAGUGCUCGAUAACAGUGGCCUCCGAAGUACCUCUCAACGACAUUAUAAACAACCGUGAUGCGACAGGCAGGAUUGCAAAAUGGGCCAUUGAGCUCUUACUAUUUGACAUAACCUACAAACCACGGCGAGCUAUAAAGUCGCAAGUUUUGGCUGACUUCAUCGCCGAAUGGACCGAAGCCGAACUCCCUAAAGAGUACGACGCAUACUCCAAUUGGAUCAUGCAUUUCGACGGCUCCAAAAUGUUGGCCGGCUUGGGGGCUGGCAUCGUAUUAACGUCCCCAACCGGAGACACAGUCCAAUACGUACUUCAGAUAAUGUACACGGACUCCAACAAUGCAGCCGAAUAUGAUGCCCUUCUACAUGGUCUCCGGAUGGCAAUCUCCAUGGGUAUUCAACGCCUAGAGGUGCGCGGGGAUUCAAACCUCACAAUAUCCCAAGUAAAUGGAGACUUUGACGCCAAAGAUCCGAAAAUGGCAGCCUAUCGUAACACUGUCUUAAAAAUGUCAGCUCAGUUCGAAGGACUCGAAUUCCACCAUGUAGCCCGGGAUAAUAACCAGGCAGCCGACGUGUUGGCGCGCAUCGGCGCAAAAUGCGACGUCGUCCCUCCAAACAUCUUCCUGGAGCAGCUCUUUAAGCCAUCCGUAUUAUGGGAAGAGGAGUCCAGAAAUAACAACCCGGAACCAACCGCGCCACCCAACACGGAACAUUCUGACACUCGGUGGCUCAGCCAAUGAAAUAACACCCUCAGCCCACGAAAUAAUGGCAGUAAUUGCCCCAUGGACGGAACCAUUCCUAGCCUAUUUAACUAGGCAGGAACUUCCCGAAGACCAAAAUGAGGCCCACCGCAUAGUUCGGCGAUCUAAAGCCUACAAGGUCCAUGAGGGAGAACUUUAUAAGAAAAGCACAACCGGAGUCCUUCAAAGGUGCAUCUCCGAAGAGGAAGGGCGAAAUCUCCUGGCUGAAAUUCACGCCGGACUCGGUGGGCACCACGAUGCAGCCAGGGCCCUUGUAGGCAAGGCCUUCCGUACAGGAUUUUAUUGGCCGACUGCCCGGGCAGAUGCUCAGGACUUAGUCCAACGAUGCGUCGGUUGCCAGCACUUUGCUAAUCAAAGCCACAUGCGACCCACCGCCCUCAAAACUAUACCCAUCACCUGGCCGUUCAUGGUCUGGGGGCUUGACAUGGUUGGACCCCUUAAAGGGGGAACCCACAAGCAAAAAUACCUAUUGGUCAUGGUGGACAAAUUCACCAAAUGGAUAGAGGCCAAGCCAGUUAAAACGGCAGAAUCCGGACCCGUGAUAGACUUCAUAUCCGGGGUAGUACAGCGUUAUGGCGUCCCCCACAACAUCAUCACUAAUAACGGCACGAAUUUCACGGCCGACGAGGUUAAAGUCUGGUGCAAAAGUAUGGGCAUCAGGCUCGAUUACGCUUCAGUCUAUCACCCCCAAACUAACGGUCAAGUCGAACGAGUAAAUGGUCUAAUCAUGAGCGGCAUCGAACCGAGAUUAUUGCGGUCCCUCACGGAAUCUAACACGCACUGGGUAGAGGAGCUCGACUCCGUACUCUGGGGGCUGCGGACCACGCCGAACCGCACUACCGGAUUCACAUCAUUUUUUAUGGUGUACGGCGUAGAGGCAGUUUUGCCCUGCGACAUAAUUCAUGACUCACCUCGCGUGCACAUGUACGAAGAAAGAGAAGCCGAGUUGGAUCGGUAGGACAGUUUGGACGCCUUAGAGGAGGAGCGGGACGUGGCAAAAGCUCGUUACACAUUCUAUCAGCAGCAGGCUCGAAGAUAUCAAAGCAGAGAAGUACGGGCCAAAACUUACAAUGUUGGCGAGCUAGUUCUACGCCUGUCGGACAAGAAAAAGGACAAACUUAAGCCCAAAUGGGAAGGUCCCUUCAUCAUCGACCAAGUCCUGACCGGCGGAGCAUACCGUCUAUGUAACGCAUCUGACAACCGACUCGAGCCGAACCCAUGGAACGCAGCCCGUCUCCGAAGAUUCUACGCCUAGCGCCGGACUUAGAGUUCGUCUCCUUCCUCCGCCCACCUUUUAUAUUUUCGCUGUCUUUUGUUCCCCUCCUUCUUCCCGCUUUUUAGUAAAAAGCCUUUGAGGGCUGAUCUGUGCAUUGUUCGCACACACUUGAUGUGAUACUCGCACUCAUUAUACCUAGGGGCUUCUUUAACAGAAGCUUAUUUAUACGGGCUUCAUGCCCAACACAUGUGUCAUACUUCCGCAUGUACCUUUUAUUCACCAUUAUAUGCAUCGAUAUGACUUAAGUUUUGGCCAAGCUAGGUUGCCUGGAUCCUGUGCUUACCCCUACGUUCCCGAUUGUUCGGCUAGGAGGUAAAGGGAGCACAUCUGCGAUUGUUACUGCCGGGUCAGCCGGAUGUGUACCUCAGACUGGGUGAAGCCGAAAGCUAGCGUUCUUAAGGGAAUAUUCGGUUGGUGACUUGAAAGAUGAUUUAUUACUUAUUUAUUUAUCUGGCCCCAGAUGCUUUUUCUGCUCUCUUCGCAGUACGGACAUGCACCUUAGGGCAUGCCUCCCAGGGAAAGGAACCCCUAACCGAACUAUUCUCCCUGGAAGAUGUUUCUUAAUAACCAUGUAAUAUAACAUAACUAGUUGGGCACUUUUCUGAUAAAGCACUAAUGACCCCUACGGCUGUUCUCCAUGCAUGCCCCGGUUUUUAUAUAACCGUUAGGGUAUUCGGACACACUCCGGACUGUUGGGUCCCGAGGUUGAAGCGAAAAGGUCCGCAAAGACAAACGAUCUACAAUCUGGCUAGAAGGCAUUUUACAUGUCAUUUUAAAAUUACAUCGUCAAAUUGACUGAUUGAACUCCUCUUCAAUCCCAUCUAACAGGCUGUCUAGUUUACAGUCCCGUUGGGAAUAUUUCGCAGCCAACUCUACUUGGUCGUACAUUAAGCUCACAGGGAUCUCCUUCCCAUCGGGCCCCACAGGUCCGACCUCGGCCAUGUGGUUUGGAUCAGCCUUCGUGUACCGCGUCUUCACCAUGGCCCAGGCCUCUCUGGCGCCUUGACGGCAAGCCGAUAUCUUCCACAGACGGAAGCGCUGCCGUACUCCCUGAAGCUUCUCAGCAAGCCCUCCAAGACCCUCGGGUAGGGAGACGGACGGCCAUAAGGCCUGAACGACGCCGCUCAUCGCCUGCCGAACACGUUCGUGCAGUUGCAGCAGCUCGGGAAGAAGGUCACACGUGGAACCAGGCAUUUCCUCCGCCGGACGACCCGUGAGCACACCUACAGACACAUUUCUGUCAAUCGACUUCCUCGCUGAACUCUUCUUUUCAAAAGAGUUUGCUCAAGCACUUACUGCAAAUGCCGCGACGAAGCCGCCGGUUCUCCUUUACGGAGUCAAACAGCUGGACCCGAACAUCUUUUAGUUCUUCGCCCAGCUGGGUGUUGGCAUCUUGGAGUUUGUUCCUCUCCUGCUGCACCCUCAUAAGCACCUUCUCGCCGGCCUUCAGCUGGCACAGCAGAUGUUGCUUGUCCGGUUCCAGUCCGGCACCCUCUGCAAUAUUAUUGUCAGACUUACGCACACGCCGCAUUUCAUAAACUACUUAUCUUUUUGAAGUAUGUUUUACCAGAGGGGGUCUCUGUGGCUCCCCCUGCGGCGGCUAGCACGGCCUCAUGUUGGGCCUUGCACUCUUGAAGUUCCUGUGACAGACAGGUAUUCUUCUCCGUAAGAUCCUGCAUAACAAAUGAUCCUUAAAUCAGUUAUUCUAACUAUUUUAAGUCUCGGGGGCUACUGGCAUAUAUAAAUAUUAAAAUUCCUCACCCGUAUGUCUUUCACAUACUACUUUGUGGCUCUGGUUAGACCAUCUCGAGCGGCACGGAGGUGCGCGUCUCCCGCAUUAAAGGCAUUCAGUGCCUCCGAAGAGAAACACGCGUCACGAAGAACCGUCCGGUGGCGCCUGUGAUUCAUGGCGCUCUCCACCUCAGACCUGGUGGCGGACAACCUCUCGGCAUCCUCCGUUGGAUGAGCAUCUGGCUCACGCCUUGUGUUCGCCUCCCCUUCCGGACCAGGCGUUGGAGCAUGGCUGGCGGAGGCUUGAUUGGCAACCUCUCCGGACACUGUCCGGCGAGCGCUCUUUCUCCUGGAAAAAUCAUGAGCGUUAAUAUACCUCCUAGGAAUCUUUCCCUUAAAAACAGCGGUGCGCCGUACCGUUGCGGCGAUGUUUCGAUUCGCGCCGCACUCCUCUUCCGCCUGCUGGGCCGAUCUGACCCUUGUUGGUCAGCCGCCGCGGGUUCGGCUUCUCGCCUUAAAGGCGCCUCAUGCAGAGCACCGUUCGUAUACGGUGGUCAGAAAUGAGCAUGGACCAAGUAAUGGUGUCAGGACUCCGGUCGUAGUCACCUAGGAAGCCGGAGAUAAACCGGGGUAGUCAGCCGUAAUGGCGACUAGAGCAUUGUCCAUGCUAAGUUGGUGGAACACCCCGUCAAUCAGCUCCACCUUUAUGUACGGAUCCUCUUCGGAGGCCGGAUCAAGGGAUCGUCCUGGAUCCUCGGGCUGUGGAGUCAGGCUUUGUAUGCCCUCCAUGUCCCGGCGCAGCUCCUGCGUCAAAAUCACAAAGUGAGACACUUAACUUUGGGAAUAUGGAUCGGAUAGAUAAACGUCCGCUUACCUAGCUCCGAGGGUUAUUCAUGGAGAAUCCAUUCAAUGGACUCGUGCGGAGGAAGUCCUCCUUCUCCCCCUUGUACAAGCCGGAUAGGAUCUUCACCAGAUCGGCGGUCGAUCCCGGCCCCUUGCGGCCAUGACGGAUGGCGUCAUCCUCCCCGUUGAAAUCCCACAUGGGGUGGCCCCUAUAUUGGAGCGGCUGCACCCCUCGCAUAAUGCACGUGGCCAUGACUCCAAUCAUGGUCAAUCUGGAGUGGGCCAGUAACCUUAUCCGGCCCAUCAGAUAUUGGACGCUCCCAUCAUCUUCCUGUUGAGGGCUCCGCAGGCGCCAACUCAGGCGUUUCUUCAGGGGAGCAUUGCUGAACUCCGGGAGGCCGAUCUGAACUGGAUCCGGCAGAGGGGAGUCUUCCAUAUAAAACCAUUCCGAAGGCGAGUCUUCGGAUGCCUUCUUCAGGGUUCCGGAUAGAUAUCCGGUCCCGGCAAUGCGCCAUAUUUUGGCUCCGCCCACUUGAUAUAUUGACCCCUCGUGAGAACGGAGUACGAGGCAAAACAAUCUCUUCCACAGCGCAAAAUGGGGCUCAAUGCCCAAGAACAGCUCGCAAAGAGCUACAAAGCCCGCGAUGUGCAAAAUGGAGGCAGGUGUAAGGUGGUGAAGCUGGAGUCCAUAGAACUCCAGGAGCCCCCGGAGAAACGGAUGUAUGGGAAAUCCGAGUCCCCUUAUUAGAUAAGGGACGAAGCAUACCCGCUCUCCUUUGGAGGGAUUGGGGACGCUCUCCGCCUGCUUUCCACCCUUGUAGGUGGCCAAUCCGGCUCGAACCGGAACCAUGAAGGCUGGGGGAAGAUAUCCCUCUGCUUGGAGCGUCACUAGCUUGCUAUGCGGAAGUGAACAUCUCCUCCAAUCUCCUGGCUGAGGGCUGGGAGCGCGAGAGGAGGAGCCGCGUAGACUAUCCAUGAUGGAAUGGAUUUUUGUCAGAGGCGCUUCGAUGAGUAAUUGAGGAAGGAGGAUGGCCUGAUUUGGAUCUAGAUCCUCGCCUCUCUUAUAGGCAGCUUAUUCGCGCGGCUAGGGGGUAAAACGCAAAAAUACCCUAGCUUUUUGCAUUCAUACGACACGUGGAAGAGGGCCAUUAUUGGAUGUGGAAGCCAAGGAGCGCAACAUUUAUAAGGAAGCCGGACACUAUUCAGCAGGCACAUGGAAUUUGAAGGAGAACCCGCCUUGCAACGCCAAAGACAAUAUGCGCGCCGGACUCAUCGUCAUUGAAGCCUGGUUCGGGGGCUACUGAGGGAGUCCCGGAUUAGGGGGUGUCCGCAUAGCCGAACUAUCAUCAUCAGCCGGACUUCAAGACUAUGAAGAUACAAGAUUGAAGACUUCGUCCCUUGUCCGGAUGGGACUUUCCUUGGCGUGGAAGGCAAGCUUGGCGAUACGGAUAUGUAGAUAUCCUACCAUUGUAACCGAAUCUAUGUAACCCUAGCCCUCUCUGGUGUCUAUAUAAACUGGAGGGUUUUAGUCCAUAGGCCAGAACAACUAUCAUACCAUAGGCUAGCUUCUAGAGUUUAGCCUCCUUGAUCUCGUGGUAGAUCUACUCUUGUAAUACCCACAUCAUCAAUAUUAAUCAAGCAGGACGUAGGGUUUUACCUCCAUCAAGAGGGCUCGAACCUGGGUAAAACAUCGUGUCCCUUGUCUCCUGUUACCAUCCGCCUAGACGCAUAGUUCGGGACCCCCUACCCGAGAUCCGCCGGUUUUGACACCGACAGGGAUAGAUGGGGAUCCACGUGGUCGUUGCGGCUUGCCCAGGUAGGAGGUCUAUUUGUCCCGGUUGGUGCCACCAACCCGGACCAAAAUGCUUCCACGCGUCAGCAGUUCAGGAGUUGGGGUUUUUUUUCUGAAAGGGGGGGAGGGGGUUUGGGGGUUUUGUAGGGUCAAUUUAGGGGUUUCCUAUAUUGUGUUAGCCAGCUAAUAGAGAGAAGUGUUCUCUCUUAUCUCUGUGCUUGGUCGACGCUACGUACUAUACGUAUAGAGAGGACUCGACACGCUAGCUAGCUAGCUAGUAAGCAAAUGAAGGAAACCAUUAAGUACAGAAGAUCGUCAUGAACAUAUAUAGAGAGAAGUGAUCGACCUCUCCUUCUCCGAGAGAUUAGUCGAACAACAAGUGUUCGUAUAUCUAUCCAACGCUACUAGCUUCAUAUAUACAAUAUAAGAUCUAUCACAAUCCUUAAAGUCUGAAGUCAAGUGCCACAUGGUAUUAUCCGGCUUUCUUGGUGACGUGGUCAAGAAAGAAUCCCGCCAAUUCCUCUUGAAUUGCGUUUAUGCGGUCAUGUGGUAGGAGCUCGUCCCGCAGCUGCCAUAUCUAAAUCGAAGAAGAGGGUCAAUACAUGUGUAUGAAUGAAACACAACACAAAUGAUGGUAAUAAAAUACAAUUGUGAAUAUUUUUGCUUGCGCACUUGAUAUUGUUUUUCAGUGUAGCCCCUCUUAUUCUUGGUCGCCUCGUUGUAGAUGAACUCACAAACAUAGUAUCCACAGAAAUUAUUUUCUUGUUCCUGCCACAAACACUUUACGAGAAAUAGAGGUCAAUCAAACUGACAAGCAAGCAUGCUAAAUGCUAUUGAUGAAACUAGUUACAAUCAAUGGGAGAUGCGCGGAACUAGGUAGUAGUACUUACUUUCGGUUGUUUAAAUGUCAGCUCGAUCGGCAGUCCCGGAGAAAUUGCGGUGAAACUUUUUCAAACUCCGCCAGGCAAAGAAAAUAAUUACUUGAUAUCAGGAAAUGAACAAAGUUGCCAAUAUGGUGCGAUAAUGAUGGAUUGAACUUACUUCUGGAGCAUUCCAGUCAUGUCCGCAUAGUCCUCGGGAUCUUUUCGUCUCGAGUCUAAGAUGGUUACUUCUCCCUUCCCAAGCUUAAUCACUAGGAGCAUAAAGUUGAAGUUGCGCACGCAUGCACAACUCAACAGUUACAUGACUAUAACCUCGAGUAAUAAGGGAAACCGAAUAUGCACAAGACAGUAACACUCACAUGAAGUUGUAAGGAAAGAGUAUUUUAUCUUUCGUUUGAUUUUUGAGCAACGAUCUGAGAAAGUUGUCCUCGGUCUUUUCAGCUUUUUUUGACCGUGUAUUCAUGUAUGACAUUUGGGUUAAUGAACCCAAUGUCAUAGAUUUGUGCUUUUCUGCAUUCGACGAUCUUCAAUCUGCAUAAUAUAGCGAGGAUAAUUAUAUAUACAUGCAAUGAAAGAGCUGAGCUAUAUAUAUAAAUAGACUUAAUUACAUAAAGUAGUACUUACAGACAGUAGCAAUCCACAAGUGAUUUGUCGAGGGCCUUUUGAUUGUAGAACUGGAAAACUCGUCAAAAUCAACAGUUAACAGUUCUUGGCCAAUGAAGUCGUGGUCCUCUUUAAUCAUCAUCGACAAAGCAUCCUUCCCAGACUCUCUGCAUGUUUUCAUGUACCAGUCAUGGAAUCUUCAUCGUUGUUAGAGCAAGAGUAUCUUUGACGAGAGGCUUCCCGUAAUGGUAUUUGAAUUCCUCCACCUCCAUUAUUUCAAAUUAAAAAUCGUCGCGUAGGUAAUCACCAAUAGUGAAAUCGUGCAGCAGCGGCUGAUUUGCGACAAUAUCGCUAGACACCUUGAGCGGGGGGGAUGAUUGGUUCUACUAUUCUCCGAGAUGGGGAAUUUUCUUCCCACUUCUUUGUUCUUUUAACCUUUUAUCAGUUGAAGUAGUUCCCGACUGGCGCGCUUGUUGCACUUUCUUUUUAAGACAACGGAGAUGGUUGUUAUCCGGCGAAUGCGGUGGUGCUUGCUCCAGGGCAUUGAGAGUGUGCUUCGCUUUCACCGGAUCUUUCUUCUCCUCCAGAGGUGGAUGUUUCUCAGCUCUUUUCGUUUCAAAGAAGUUCUUCACUUGGGCUUGAAUAAUCUGCUUGUUUUCCUCCACAGUCAUCUCAUAUGGUAACUUGUCUAGAGGCUUGAGAGACGAUGGUCCGAAUUUGUAUUGCCUCGCACCUCUGGCUGUACUGCUAGAUGCCGGAGUAGCCGGAGCGGCUGCGGCUGUCUUAUUUCGUUGCUUAAGAGGCGGAGCGGCCGGAGGCGGACUGCUACGGUACACCGGAGCAGCUAGAGUGGCGGCUUCUGUGUUCCGCCGUCGCUUACGAGGCGGCGAAGGAGGAGGAGGGCACCUCGGACGCGCCGGAGCAGGCAGAGAAAGAGGCGGAGUACUGCCGCUCUCACGCACCGGAGCAGGAGGCGGAGUGCCUGAUCACUCGCCGGAGGAGGAGGAAGAGGCAGAGUGCCCAGCUGACUCGCGGGAUCCGUGAAGUUCAGAAGUUUGAUGUGCUCCUUCUGCCAUAGACACAGAGUCUUCAUAGCAAGACCCAACUGAGUCUCCCCAUCACCUGUAGGGUGCUCAAGCUGGAGCUCCUCAAGUCCAUCCGUUAUUUCGUCCACCAUCACAACAUCAUAGCCUUGUGGAAUCAGACGACAAUAAAAAGUUGCUCCGGGUGAAGGAGGGAACACAAAGCUGACAGCUGCCUUGACUUUGAGCUGAAGCCCUUGCGUCAUAAGGUGGCACUGGUGUGAAUCCGUGAUAAAAUCCACGGGGUACCUAGGACCCGUCCAGUCAGGUUGCUAAACGAGCUCGGUGGAAGCCACGCUGCUUCUCCGCUGAGAUGGCGGGGUAGCUUCUGGGGUAGCUGCUUGGGCAGGAUCUCGCAGCUGGUUCUCAACAUCUUGUCGUUCCUCUAGCUUUCGUACCCUUGCCUUAAGCUGCUGCAGUUCGCUCUGCUCCACUUUCCUCCUCCUCUCUUGGGUUUUGUAACUCCCUGUGUCGAGAAACCCAACCUACCAUGCAAUAGAGCCUGGCGUGCCUCGUGUUCGUCCAGGGUGCUCAGGAUUCCCAAGGGCCCUUGUGAGCUCGUCGUUCUCUCUGUCAGGAAUGAACGUCCCUUCUGCACUUCCUUGAUUGCUUUCUGAAGCUUCAUGAUGGGUGUUCCAAGUUGCUCGUCCAUCCAGCAGCACUUCCCUGUUUCAGUGUCCAAAGUUCCCCCAACCCCGAAGAACCAAGUCCUUGAACGGUUUGGCUAGUGCAAUGUCUCUACUUCGACCCCUUUAGCAAUCAGGCCUUGCUCAGCCUUGUCCCACAACGGCCGGGCUUUGAGGUAGCCACCUUACCCCGUGCGAUGGUGAUGCUCCUUCUUUGCAGCGUUUAUCUUGUUUAUCGCUGACAUAUUCUUACUCCUCUCCCAUGUCUUGUUGGCCACAAAUGCGGGCUAGUGAUCUCUUAUCUUCUCAAAUCGGCUGGUGAAUUUUGGAGUCUUGUCAUGGUCGACAUAAGUUGAUUUCAACUCAUUCUUCCACCUCCUUAAUAGACCUGCCAUCUUCUUGAGAGCAUGAAACAUGAUCAAUGGCUCUAUAACUGGCUUCUCUGGAUCCUCCUCUUCUAGUAGGGUGAAAUUUACCUUCAGCGCGGUCCAAAGAUCAGCUUUCUGUCUACCUUCGACAAAGGAACUUGAAGCUCUUCCUUCUUAGGCUGAUUCCAUUGCUCGAUGCUGAUCGAGAUCAUGUCCCUAACAAGAACCCCGCACUGAGGAGAAAAUGCUUCCUUGGUCCGGAGAGGUUUAAUCGGUUGGCCAUCACGCGCGAUUUCUGUGAUCGUGAACCUUUCAUCCGGGCGCAAAUUUUUCUUCGGGCCUCGUCUCGUUACCGAAGGGCUAUAAAAGAAGAAAGAAGAGUUAAUAUAUGUACAUACAAAAACAAUUAAUGCAUCACAGGCUUAAUUAAUAUAUAUCUUGCCGGAAUUUGCAACAGUUGAUCCCGACUCCGUUCGGUCACCAGAGCCGUCAUCACGGUCGCCGGAGCCAUCAUCAUGAUCAUGACUUUCCUCCUCCAUUGUUUGAUCACCGUAGCCUGCUUCCUCUCCUUCCAGACCUUUUUCAAAGUCAUUGAGAAACAACAAGAGAUCACCUCCAUUGCGGAUUAUGUCCCCUCCAAUAUCUCUUCUUGUUCGAAGUCUCUUUGUUGAUCCAUAGUUUCUGCAAAUAUUACAACAUGGCAAUUAAUAUGCAAACAUGAGAGAUGGAUAUAUUAAUAGUGGCAAACAUAGACCCCUCGGCGAUCCUCGGCCCUCGACCCUCAUCCCCUCGGCGACCCUUGACCCCCUACCCUAGCUAGUUCCGAUCCUUGACCGCUCGGAUUCUCUUAACCUUUCAGGGAUUUAACAAGAUGGCACCAUUCUGGAUGUGCAGAAAAUGGUCCCUCGACCCCUCGACGACCCUAGACCCUCGACCCCUCGACGACCCUGGACCCUCGACCCUUGACCCUCGACUAUCGACGACCAUCGACCCUCGACGACCCUCGACCCCUCGACGACCCUCGACCCAUCGACCCAUCGGCAACCCUCGACCCUCUAGCCUAGGUCCCGACACCCUNNNNNNNNNNNNNNNNNNNNNNNNNNNNNNNNNNNNNNNNNNNNNNNNNNNNNNNNNNNNNNNNNNNNNNNNNNNNNNNNNNNNNNNNNNNNNNNNNNNNNNNNNNNNNNNNNNNNNNNNNNNNNNNNNNNNNNNNNNNNNNNNNNNNNNNNNNNNNNNNNNNNNNNNNNNNNNNNNNNNNNNNNNNNNNNNNNNNNNNNNNNNNNNNNNNNNNNNNNNNNNNNNNNNNNNNNNNNNNNNNNNNNNNNNNNNNNNNNNNNNNNNNNNNNNNNNNNNNNNNNNNNNNNNNNNNNNNNNNNNNNNNNNNNNNNNNNNNNNNNNNNNNNNNNNNNNNNNNNNNNNNNNNNNNNNNNNNNNNNNNNNNNNNNNNNNNNNNNNNNNNNNNNNNNNNNNNNNNNNNNNNNNNNNNNNNNNNNNNNNNNNNNNNNNNNNUUCUUCUUAUCCUCAUGUCGACCCCCCCCCUCAUGUAAAAGUUAUCGGGGAGGGGGUAUAUCGACAACAACGACAUAUACAUAGAAAAAAAUCUUAUCGGGGAGGGGGUAUAUCGAUCCCCCUCAUGUCGAAUUUAUGAGGGAGGGGGUAUAUCGACAACGACGACAUAUACAUAGAAAAAAAUGUUAUCGGUUAGGGGGUGUAUCGACCCCCUCUCAUGUCGAAGUUAUUGGGGCCGGGGUAUAUCGAUCCCCCCCCCCUCAUGUCGAAGUUACCGGGGAGGGGUUAUAUAUAUCGACAAAAUUACAUCAUCAUAUAUCAUCAAACAAAAUUACAUCAUCAUCAUCAUCAUAUAUAUAUAUAUAUACAUCUAAAAAAGUUUUCAUAUAUCAUCAUAUAUCAUCGUCAUCAUCAUCAUCUAGUACAAAAAUUGACCAAGCUAGUUUUCAUAUAUCAUUAUAUAAAUCAUCAUCAUUAUCAUCACCAUCUACUACAUAAAAAAAUUGACCAAGUUUUCAUGUAUAUAUAUAUACAAAACAUGUAAAAAUAGCAUCUAAAAACAUCUAAAACUAGCAUCUAAAAACAUCUAAAAAUAGCAUCUAACAACAUCUAAAACUAGCAUCUAAAAACAUCUAAGAAAUUAAGCAGGGGCAUGGCGGAGAGGCAUGGCGGCGGCGCCGACAGGGCAGGGCAGGGGGGAGACAGGGGAGGGGCGUGGGAGCAGGCUGGUGCUCACAUGAUGCGGCGGCGCACGGUGAGCAACGCGUCGUGGCAGGCAGGGGCGGCAGCGGCGGCAGCGGCAAUGUGGAGCAGGGGCGUCGGGCGGCGACGGCGACGAGGUGGAGCAGGGGGCAGGGGCGUCGGUGGUGGAGGCGAGCAGCCUGACGGUGUCGGUGGCGGCGGCGACAACAAGGUAGAGCAGGGGCGUCGAGCGGCGACGGUGAUGAGGAGGAGCAAGGGGCGUCGGGGAGAAGAAGUGGUGGAUUUCGUCGAAACUGCUAAGUGUUGCUUAUAUACCCAGGGCAUCGCUACCGGUUCAUGGCACCAACCGGUACCAAUGCCCCCCUUUGGUGCCGGUUGGUGCCACCAACCGGGACAAACGGCCUCUGUUUUCCGCCCUGGUUCGUGCCACGAAUCGGUACCAAUGCCCCCCUUUGGUGCUGGUUGGUACCACCAACCGGGACCAAAGGCCUCGUGCUGCCCGUGGCCAAAACUUUAGUCCCACCUCGCUAGUAGAGAGGGGCGCGUAGUGGUUUAUAAGCCCCACUGCCGCACCCCUCUCGAGCUCCUUUCCAUUGCAGGCUUACGGGCCAAAUCAUACACUGCUAUGCCUGAUGGGCCUAAUGGUCCUUCCGCGGGCCUGAAUCCUGGCCCAUGGUUGGGUUUCUAGUCGUAUUCAGGCCGUGGUGGCCCAGUAGGUGGCAUUUUUUUAUUUUUCUAGUUUUUUUUGUUUUUUGCAUUAUUUAUUUUCUUUUGUUUUUUCCUUUUUUUCCUUUUAGGUAAUAAAAAUUAUAAACUUUCUGUUGGUGCCAUUUGUUUUCCAAUUUGAAUAGUUUACAUUUGAAUUUUUUGAAAUUUGUGUGAAUCACUAGUUUUUGAAUAACUUUACUAUAAAAAUAGAUUUUUGAGUGAUUAUUUUUUCCUGCUAUUUAAUAUUACUUUGUUUUAUCAUUAUAUUCAAAAACAGAUUUUUGUUAUUUUAGUUUCUAACACAAAAAUUCUUUAUGAUAAUUCUUUUUGCUAUUAAAGUUUCUAACAAAAAAUUCUUUAUGAAAAUUCUUUUUGCUUUUAAUGUUUUGAACAUAAAAUACUUUGAUAAUUUUGGUAGCAUAAAUUUUAUAUAAUUUUAGUUUCAAUAAUACUAGAGGUUUAUAAAUGUUUUUUGAAUUGAUUCCUUUUGCUAUUGGAGUUUUAUAAAAUCUUUUUAGUUGAUUCUUUUUGCUAUUGAAGGAUAUAAUAGUUUUCUUUUAGUUGAUCAUAACAGAAUAUUUCAUUUGAUUAUUUUUAGUUCAUUCUUUUUUCUAUUAGUUCAUUCUUUUUGCUAUUAGUUCAUUAUUUGAGCUAAAUGACCCUGAAAUUGAAAAGCACUACAAAUGAACUCUGAAAAGGCUGAAAGUUGGCAUGGUAUCAUUAUUUCACCCACGUAGCAUGUGCUAAAAAGUUGAGAGGGUUACGAUAAAAACUGGAUGUACUUCGUGUGCAAAAUGGACAAUCUCUUUCGAAGUAUCAGGGUUUCGGACGGAAACUCAUCUGUUACAAAGGAAUUCCAUUUUUUUGAACUUAUUUGAACUCCAGACUUUUUGUGUGUUCAAAAUGCACCAUUCAAAGCCACAUCAUUAAUUUUCAACCCUCUCUGACUUCAUUUGGUAUUUUUCAUGCCUGUACUGAUUUUUUUGAGCUAUAUGACCCUUAAAUAUAAAAGCACUACAAAUGAACUCUCAAAAGGUUGAAAGUUUACAUGGUAUCAUCAUUUCACCCACAUAGCAUGUGCUAAAAAGUUGAGAGGGUUACGUGCACUUCGUGUACAAAACAGACAACCUCUUUGGAAGUAUCAUGGUUCCGGACGAAAACUCAUCUGUUACAAACGGAUUUCAUUUGUUCACAUGUAACUGCAGUGAUAUUCUAGAUCAAAGGCAUCAUUAUAAUAGUUGUUGAUAGAAAGUCUUCACUUUUUCUUCGCUUGUGUCGUUUGCUUAUUGCGCCAUAAUCCUGGAUAAUCUUCAUCGUUUAAUGGGGUGCUUGGGUCAGCCUUGACUUUGAAGGGAGGAAUUUCAUGAACUUUAGACAUGUCUGUCUUGCCCUCCAAUCCCACGAUGUCUCUUUUACCUGAAAGAACUAUGUGGCGCUUUGGCUCAUCAUAUGAUGUAUUCGCUUCCUUAUCUUUUCUUUUUCUCGGUUUGGUAGACAUGUCCUUCACAUAGAAAACCUACGCCACAUCAUUGGCUAGGACGAAUGGUUCGUCUGUGUACCCUAGGUUGUUCAGAUCCACUGUUGUCAUUCCGUAUUGUGGGUCUACCUGUAACCCACCUUCCGACAGAUUGACCCAUUUGCACUUAAACAAAGGGACCUUAAUAUCAUAUCCAUAGUCAAGUUCCCAUAUGUCCACUAUGUAACCAUAAUAUGUGUCCUUUCCCCUCUUGGUUGCUGCAUCAAAGUGGACACCACAAUUUUGGUUGGUGCUCUUUUGAUCUGGGGCGAUCGUAUAAAAUGUAUUCCCAUCUAUCUCGUACCCUUUGUAAGUCAUUACAGUCGAAGAUGGUUCCCUAGCCAACGAGUACAGGUCAUCAGAAAUAGUGUUGUCACACCUGAGACGUGUUUUGAACCAACUGCCAAAAUUCUUGAUGUGUUCACAUGUAAUCCAGUCGUCACACUGGUCCGGGUGUUUGGAGCGCAGAAUGUUCUUGUGUUCAUCGACAUAUGGGGUCACCAAGGUAGAAUUAUGUAGAACCAUGUAGUGUGCUUGAGACCAAGAAUGCCUGUCCCUACAUAUUAUUGAUUCCCCUCCUAGCGUGCCUUUUCCAACCAGUCUCCCCUCAUACCGCGAUUGAGGAAGACCUAUCUUCUUAAGGUUAGGAAUGAAGUCAACACAAAACCCAAUGACAUCCUCUAUUUAAUGGCCCAUGGAGAUGCUUCCUUCUGGCCUAGCACGGUUACGGACAUAUUUCUUGAGGAAUCCCAUGAACCUCUCAAAGGGGAACAUAUUGUGUAGUAAUACAGGGGGGCAGAAAAACAAUCUCGUCGACUAGAUGAACUAGGACGUGCGUAAUCAUAUUGAAGAAGGAUGGUGGGAACACCAGCUCGAAACUAACAAGACAUUGCGCCACAUCACUCCUUAACCUUGGUAGGAUUUCUGGAUCAAUCACCUUCUGAGAGAUUGCAUUGAGGAAUGAACAUAGCUUGACAAUGGCUAAUCGAACGUUUUCCAGUAGAAGCCCCCUCAAUGCAACCGGAAGCAGUCGCGUCAUAAUCACGUGGUAGUCAAGAGACUUUAGGUUCUGGAACUUUUUCUCUGCAAUAUUUAUUAUUCCAUUUAUAUUCGACGAGUAGCCAGACGGGACCUUCAUACUGAGCAGGCAUUCAAAGAAGAUUUCCUUCUCUUCUUUGGUAAGAGCGUAGCUGGCAGGACCUUCAUACUGCUUUGGAGGCAUGCCGUCUUUUUCACGCAAACGUUGUAGGUCCUCCCAUGCCUCCGAUGUAUCGAUUGAAGAGCAUACCUCUAGGUCUUUCCGGUAGUGUUGGUCCCAUAAUAUAGAUUUCUUCUUCCACAUGGGUGCACGUCUCUCGACGUCAUUCGGAAUAGAUAGUCCGCCAGGACCCUUUCCGAAUAUUACUUUUAAAUCAUUGACCAUAGCAAGUACGUGAUCACCGGUACGCAUGGCGGGCUUCUUCCGGUCAUCUGCCUCGCCUUUGAAAUGCUUGCCUUUCUUUCGACAUUGAUGGUUGGUCGGAAGGAAUCAACGAUGUCCCAGGUACACAUUCUUCCUGCAUUUGUCCAGGUAUAUACUUUCGGUGUCAACUAAACAGUGCGUGCAUGCGUGGUAUCCCUUGUUUGUCUAUCCUGAAAGGUUACUGAGAGCAGGCCAAUCAUUGAUGGUGACAAACAACAAUGCAUGCAGGUCAAAUUCCCCCUGUUUGUUCUCAUCCCACGCAUGUAUACCGUUUUCAAUCCACAGUUGUAAAAGUUCUUCAACUAAUGGCCUUAGGUACACAUCAAAAUGCCGUUGCCAGGUUGCUUAGGGCCUUGGAUGAGAACUGGCAUCACAAUGAAGUUCCGCUUCAUGCAUUGCAAAGGAGGAAGGAUAUAGAUACAUAAAGUCACGAGCCAGGUGCUGUGAUUGCUGCUCUGCUCCCCAAAAGGAUUAAUGCCAUCCGCGCUGAAACGAAACCAUACGUUCCUUGCGUCACCUGCAAACUCCUCCUAGUACUUUCUCUUGAUUUUUCACUGCGACCCGUCAGCGGGUGCUGUCAACUUCCCGUCUUUCUUACUGUCCUCUCUGUGCCAUCUCAUCAACUUGGCAUGCUCUUUGUUUCUGAAUAGGCAUUUCAAUCAUCGUAUUAUAGGAGCAUACCACAUCACCAUGGAAGGAACCCUCUUCCGGGGGCGCUCGCCAUCAACAUCACUAGGGUCAUCUCGUCUGAUCUUAUACUGCAAUGUACCGCAUACCGGGCAUGCAUUCAAAUCCUCGUACGCACCACGGUACAGGAUGCAGUCAUUAGGGCAUGCAUGUAUGUUCUGCACCUCCAAUCCUAGAGGGCAUACAACCUUCUUUGUUGCAUACGUACUGUCGGGCGAUUCGUUAUCCUUUGGAAGCUUCUUCUUCAAUAUUUUCAGUAGCUUCUCAAAUCCUUUGUCAGGCACACCAUUCUCUGCCUUCCACUGCAGCAAUUCCUGUACGGUACCGAGCUUUGUGUUGCCAUCUUCGCAAUUGAGGUACAAACUUUUUUUGUGAUCCUCUAACAUGCGAUCGAACUUCAGCUUCUCCUUUUGACUUUCCCACUGUCUCCUUGCAUCAACAAUGACCCGGUGGAGAUAAUCAUCGGGCACAUUGUAUGGUUCCUCUUGAUCUUCAACAGCUUCCUCCGUUGAAGCAUCACCGUAUUCAGGGGGCACAUAGUUGUCAUCGUCCUCUUCUUCCUCGUUGUCUUCCAUCAUAACCCCUAUUUCUCAGUACUUGGUCCAAACAUUUGAGUGUGGCAUGAAACCCUUAUAAAGAAGGUGGGUGUGAAUGGUUUUUGAGUCAGAGUAAGACUUCAUAUUCCCACAUAUAGGGCAUGGACAACACAUAAAACCAUUCUGCUUGUUUGCCUCAGCCACUUCGAGAAAAUUAUGCACACCCUUAAUUGAUCCAACGGCAUAAUGAUACCAAGCCUUGGUAUGAAUGGUAUAUUUUCUAAUCUUUCUACUCUUCAAGCGCAUUGCAUCCAUCUUGAUCUUGUGAUCAUCGACGACAUCCGCAACAUGUAACUCCAAUAUCAUCUUCUCCUCCUCAAUAUUUUUAUUUUUUCCUUCAAGAAAUUUCCGGUUAACAUGCCUCCUAGAAAAAUAAAAUCUAUGUCACGUUGGUCGGCAUAAUUGUCGUAAACAAUAAAUGAACCAAAUAGUUAUAAAAGAUAAUAUACACCACAUCCGAAUCAUAGACAGGAUGAGAGCCGACCGGGCGGAUACCAAAACCAUCGCACUAUAUAAUACGAAGCAAUAAUAAAAGUAAGAAAAUUAUACAUGUAUCUAUCUAAACAUACAAGUAAGAAUUUUUUCCUUUCAGAAAUAAGAUAAGAACAAGAGGCUCACCACGGUGGUGCCGGCGACGAGAUCGGCACGGGCGAUCGACGGCGCUGAAGACGGGGACGGGACGUGACGAACGCUAAACCUAGACAAAUAUUGAGGAAAAUGGAGCUUGGAGAUCGAGCUUGGAGAGGAGAAAGCUCAAGUUGUGUGGCUCUGGUAUUCCAUCGAACACCUCAUGUGCAUAGGAGGUGAGCUAGAGCACCACAAAGCCCUCCCCUCGUCGGCCAGAAAAAUCAGAGCAGUGUGGAGUGCUCUGGUCGCCGGCGAGGGGGUAUAUAUAGGCACAUCAUUGGUUCCGGUUCAUGUCUUGAACCAGGACUAAAGGACACCCUUUGGUCCUAGUUCAAGCCACCAACCGGGCCCCACUGUGGUGGGCCAGAAGCGAGGCCCAUUGUCACCGGUUCAUCCCACCAACCGGGACCAAAGGGGCCAGACGAACCGGGACCAAUGCCCCCACAAGGCCCGGCAAGCCCCCUGGCCUCACGAACCGGGAUCAAUGCCCCCAUGGGUCCCGGUUCGUGACUGAACCAGGACUAAUGGACUUAUCUGGCCUAAACGAAAGCCCUGUUUUCUACUAGUGAUAGGUGUUCAAUCAAGUCCGCUAGUUCCUUUCUUUUCAUGUCACUUUCAUCAUUAGUCAUAGGCCCUUUCAUCACAUGUGCAAUCUCUUUCUGUACCCGUUUAACCUUCUUUUUCUGGGUUUUAACUACCUGACAAUCCUACUUAUGUAAGCUCUAAUGGAUCAUACGAAGCCUCUGUAGUAUGCCAUUCCCCUGCACAUUCAGGCCCUGUUUGGAAUGUCGUUUCUACUUUGAAUACGCUUGUAAAAGUUACAGGCCACCAUCCGUCGUUUUCAUUUCCCCCUGCAAAUCGCUCCUGGCCGGUAAGAUACACCCGUAAGAAAAAUACACUUGUAUAUGUUUACACCGAUUCCAAGCGCGGCCUCAAAGAUGAUUCAUCACAUGCUUGCAUGAACACUAGUGGGAAACAGUACUACAUUCCCUUUUAUUAGGCAGUAAUAAGAGGUACAAUUCUCCUUUUCUCUAUUGGUUCUUGAAAGAUACAAAAAUGCACAGCAAAUGCGAUUUUGCACUCUUGAGUACAUACAUAAAAAACAAUGGUAUCGCUAGCAAACAAUAUCCAUGAUGCUGAGAACUACAAAUUUAAUUUAUUACAUGCCUCAUGUAAUUACUUAAUCGUUAUUAAGGUACACACCAAAUCAAAACACAUGAACACCAGGAGAUGGUCGAAUAAAAACAGAUAAGCAAAUAGAUUAAUUAUAUUCUACAUAGAAAUUGUUAUGCAAAGACUUAGAUAACAAAAUUUGAGGUUAAUAUAGCAACCUAUCAGCCAGAAAUGUUACAUUCGUCAAAAAAUAUCUCGUCCAUCUGCUACAGAACUAAAAGCUGAGAAAUGACAAAGUGUUUGGCAACAGUGCAUGAAGUUCAGUACAGAAUGGCUAAUAGAGGUCGGAGAUGUCGUGAACAUGAGACUUGCUAAGAUAAGUAUGAUAACAAAAUAAUUUAUCAUACUUUUCGAGUUUCAAGAUCAAUCUUUUCACAUAGAUGACCGUUGAACAUAAAAGAUGGAGAUACAUAUACUUGGUGAUAAUGAGAAUCAGCUAACAAUACAAGAAGAAAGGAACACACACAACAUGUAGCAUAAAAGAGUUAUUGCCACUUGAGUGUUCAUUACCAACAACAGUCACUAACACUAUUGCUAUUGCCACUGUCAUUUAAAUCAAACCAAGCAGGGGAGGGGGGCAGAGGUAGCAGUGCUCACCAGAGAGGCUUGUAGGCAAUGCAGCGGUCGCAGUGCUGUUCAGACAACAUAGUCGCAUGACAGAUGAGGUGGCCACAGGAUGCACACCGCACUAGAGAUGCAGAAGAGGGGGUUGGGGUCAUCGUCGUCUAGACCAACGCAUGUGAGCACCAUCCAAGAGGCAGAGAGGGAGUGAGGGAGCGGGAUGUACGAAGGAGAAGAGCCACCGAAGACGCGCCGGCGACAGACACAACCCCGCAGCCGAAACCCUAGCCACUAGCAUACAAAUGUUAUCUAGACAAGUGUAGUGCAUAGAAAUGCUAAGUAGACAAGUGCAUACAGAAGACACUCUAUCUUACCAUCAUAUUGAUACAGAUCCAGCAAGCCAUUGUUAAAAAGGCAUAUUCAUCUACAAAUCCUGGUGCAUUUGUUGGGCCAUUUGGAUAACUAUGAUGCAGCCUUUUUGAGCUUGCAUCACAGAGUUUUUCCUUUAUAAAAUUUGCUGCCUUUUCUGCAACUUGAAGAUAUUCUACUGGCUGCAAAAAUACCCAGAAAUAUGGACGGUCAAGGAACAGAUUUACACGACACAAAUAAACGCAUUGAUGUAAAGCAGGUGAAGACAAAAAUCUAGUAAUUUUUGGAUGACUUUCUAAUAUAGAAGACUGUAGGAAAUUCUCCUACAGUCAUUCAAUGUUCAAAAGAGACAAAAAAUCCUCCACGACACAUGAAGGGGAGAUAGCCUUUUAUACACACAACAUCAUGGUGUCGCAUAACACAAUGGACAGUUCAUUUAAACAGUUUUAAACAAAAUUCAGGGGCUGCAUUCCCAGGGAUUCGGUUUGAACAAGUCCAACAUGUGUACAGAACAACUGAGCAAGAAGAAUAAGCUAAACAACCUACACAGUAAAGACUGGCUAUGGCUCUCCAGUGUUUAUGGUGUGGUUACAACUUACAAUUAGUCAAAAGAGUAAAUAGGUGCCACGAAUAUCUGAACUUAUCAGUAUGAAAACUGUUCCAGUUCGUUACUUUCACCCAUAAUUUCACCUGAUUUCAGCUGCACAUAGUUCAGUUUAUUAGAUGACUAAAAUGCUUAACAGGUGCUGAAAUUGAACAGAUCAACAGUUCAAUACUAAGUAUAACUCGACUAUACUACAUCCAUAUAUCUGAGUAUAGCACCAAUAAUUCAGCAACAAGAGAGAAAAUAGGAUAAGAGGAUGCCGUAGAGGAGGGAGGGAGAGGUACAAGUGCUCAGGUUCGUAGGCCAUGCAGUGGUCGCAGUGCAGAUUGGCCACCGCCGUCGCGCGGCAAGGGGGUUGCCACAAGAUGCACGGCAGUGACGGAGACGUGGCAGAGGAGGUUGGGGUCGCCGCCGUCCAGCCCAAAACGCGCCAACACACCGAGCUAGGGGGCGUCAUCCAGGAGGUGGAGUGGGGCGAGGGGCGCGAGUUGCGAUGGAGAGCAGCCGUCGGAGACGCGCCGGCGAUGGACGCGCCGCCGCAAAAGAAUCCCUAGCCACGGGCUAGGGGUCAUGCGCGAACGCCGGAGACCGGGAGCGGCGGAUCGACCAAUACUGGAGGACGGAGGGGUCGGAUCGCAGCUCGUCGGCGUGCUGAGCGAUGGCGGAUGUCAUCAGAAAGUUCGAGAGAGAGAGGGAUGGAUGGGUGGGAUUCGGCGGAUCUGACAGCUACCGAAGCUGUGAUGCGAGGUGAGAGGAGGGGAGGGGGACACCCGACGAGGAGCUGUGGGAUAAGGGAGGAGAAGAGGUGGUGGGUGGCGGCGGUGGGGAUUCAGGAGGGGGCGGUGCGAAGGAGGGAGAGAUGGAGAAGUUAGGGGCGAUGGUGUUAGGGUUAGCCCUUUUAUAUGAUGAACGGUUACGCGGGCUUUAGCGGGCUUAGGCGGGCCUGCGGAACUGUACCAGGCCGUCCAUGACGAUUUUCAAAAAUGUCAUGGCGAAUCCGUCAUGAAUCAACAGGUUUCUUGUAGUUUACCAAAUUUUCCCAAGAUAAUUUUCACCAAUGGCUAAUCUAGAACUUCGGAAACAAAAUAGUAAACUACAUGUAACACUACUUUCAACAGUCAUAAUAUUGAUUUGUUGCUUACAUAGGUUUUUACACCCAGACAAGUUUACUCAACAACGAGACAUUAUCUGCAUGGUAAUGACCACACAAUUUGACAAUUAGAACCACAUAACAUGGAAGAAGAUGCUUCAAAGUUGAAAGAUGUAAAGAGGAGCAGGAGCAAGCAGACACUUCAUUUCUCUCAACAACUUAUUA